Molecule: small nuclear RNA, 20 nt
Filed under: Arabidopsis thaliana (thale cress)
Lineage: Eukaryota; Viridiplantae; Streptophyta; Magnoliopsida; Brassicales; Brassicaceae
Description: snRNA_01452
Source: RNAcentral
GGUGUCCUAAGAUGAGCUCA